Molecule: ribosomal RNA, 403 nt
Filed under: uncultured bacterium
Lineage: Bacteria
Description: bacterial SSU rRNA
Rfam family: Bacterial small subunit ribosomal RNA
Source: RNAcentral
UGGGGAAUAUUGCACAAUGGAGGAAACUCUGAUGCAGCGACGCCGCGUGAGUGAAGAAGUAUUUCGGUAUGUAAAGCUCUAUCAGCAGGGAAGAUAGUGACGGUACCUGACUAAGAAGCACCGGCUAAAUACGUGCCAGCAGCCGCGGUAAUACGUAUGGUGCAAGCGUUAUCCGGAUUUACUGGGUGUAAAGGGAGUGUAGGUGGUCUGACAAGUCAGAGGUGAAAGCCCGGGGCUCAACCCCGGGACUGCCUUUGAAACUGUCAGACUAGAGUGCAGGAGAGGUAAGUAGAAUUCCUAGUGUAGCGGUGAAAUGCGUAGAUAUUAGGAGGAACACCAGUGGCGAAGGCGGCUUACUGGACUGUAACUGACACUGAGGCUCGAAAGCGUGGGGAGCAAACAG